CUAACGCGUUAAGCACUCCGCCUGGGGACUACGGUCGCAAGACUAAAACUCAAAGGAAUUGACGGGGACCCGCACAAGCGGUGGAGCAUGUGGUUUAAUUCGAUGCAACGCGAAGAACCUUACCACUUCUUGACAUGGAGAUUAGAUCCUUCUUAACAGAAGGGCGCAGUUCGGCUGGAUCUCGCACAGGUGCUGCAUGGCUGUCGUCAGCUCGUGUCGUGAGAUGUUGGGUUAAGUCCCGCAACGAGCGUAACCCUCAUCCUUAGUUGCCAGCGGGUUAAGCCGGGCACUUUAAGGAGACUGCCAGUGGUAAACUGGAGGAAGGUGGGGAUGAUGUCAAGUCAGCACGGCCCUUAUGGGGUGGGCUACACACGUGCUACAAUGGUGACUACAAUAG
RNAcentral lists this ribosomal RNA (397 nucleotides) under uncultured Anaplasma sp. RNAcentral describes it as "bacterial SSU rRNA". It matches the Rfam family "Bacterial small subunit ribosomal RNA", at positions 852 to 1245 of the family's 1533-position model. The record is from RNAcentral. Lineage: Bacteria; Pseudomonadati; Pseudomonadota; Alphaproteobacteria; Rickettsiales; Anaplasmataceae.